AUCGCUUCUUGGCCUUUUGGCUAAGAUCAAGUGUAUAUAUGUUAUACAUUAGAUCCUCAGGCCUUACUCAUUUUUUUUUUAAUUUUUUUUUCAACGUUUAUUUAUUUUUUUGGGACAGAGAGAGACAGAGCAUGAACGGGGAGGGGCAGAGAGAGAGGGAGACACAGAAUCGGAAACAGGCUCCAGGCUCUGAGCCAUC
Molecule: small nuclear RNA, 199 nt
Organism: Herpailurus yagouaroundi (jaguarundi)
Lineage: Eukaryota; Metazoa; Chordata; Mammalia; Carnivora; Felidae
Product: U2 spliceosomal RNA
Exons: 1
Source: RefSeq, a predicted model, not a curated record